RNAcentral lists this unclassified non-coding RNA (262 nucleotides) under uncultured fungus. RNAcentral describes it as "sequence contains ITS2". Lineage: Eukaryota; Fungi. The record is from RNAcentral.
AACGCACAUUGCGCCCGCCAGCACUCUGGCGGGCAUGCCUGUCCGAGCGUCAUUUCAACCCCCCAGACGAAAAUUCUGGCGUUGGGGCCACCGCGGCAAGGCGGCGCCCCGAAAGCGAGCGGCGGGACCACUGGCACCCCUGGCGUAGUAACUUACAAUCGCCUAGGGCUUUAGUUGCUGGCGUCGUCCCUGCCCCUAACGUACCUAACAAUACAUUUAAGAGGUUGACCUCGGAUCAGGUAGGGAUACCCGCUGAACUUAA